RNAcentral lists this ribosomal RNA (376 nucleotides) under uncultured bacterium. RNAcentral's name for it is "bacterial SSU rRNA". It matches the Rfam family "Bacterial small subunit ribosomal RNA", at positions 524 to 898 of the family's 1533-position model. The record is from RNAcentral.
UACGAAUGGUGCGAGCGUUGUUCGGAAUCACUGGGCAUAAAGGGUGCGUAGGUGGUUUGGUAAGUCAGAUGUGAAAGCCCUCGGCUCAACCGGGGAAUUGCAUCUGAUACUGCUAAACUUGAGGUUAUGAGGGGUGAGCGGAAUUCCAGGUGUAGCGGUGAAAUGCGUAGAUAUCUGGGAGAACGCCAACGGCGAAGGCAGCUCACUGGCGUAAACCUGACACUGAGGCACGAAAGCGUGGGGAGCAAACAGGAUUAGAUACCCUGGUAGUCCACGCCGUAAACGAUGGGUACUUUGUGGAGGGACUCUCGAUAGUCUCUCUGCCGGAGCAAAUGCGUUAAGUACCCCGCCUGGGGAGUAUGGUCGCAAGGCUAAA